GUACUUACCUGGACGGGGUCUACGAGCGAUCAAGAAGGCUCGUGGCCUAGGCUCAGUGGCCUCCAUUGCACUUUGGAGGAGUGCUGGCUUAUAGUCUCCCCAAGUGGGAGAGCUAACGUCAUAAUUUGUUGUAGCGGGGGCCUGCGUUCGCGCGGCCCCUAC
Molecule: small nuclear RNA, 162 nt
Organism: Cannabis sativa
Lineage: Eukaryota; Viridiplantae; Streptophyta; Magnoliopsida; Rosales; Cannabaceae
Product: U1 spliceosomal RNA
Exons: 1
Source: RefSeq, a predicted model, not a curated record